GACCCGUAAGGUCUAAACCUGU
Molecule: microRNA, 22 nt
Filed under: Strongylocentrotus purpuratus (purple sea urchin)
Lineage: Eukaryota; Metazoa; Echinodermata; Echinoidea; Camarodonta; Strongylocentrotidae
Description: Spu-Mir-10-P2n_5p (mature (guide))
Source: RNAcentral